Molecule: long non-coding RNA, 591 nt
Filed under: Marmota monax (woodchuck)
Lineage: Eukaryota; Metazoa; Chordata; Mammalia; Rodentia; Sciuridae
Source: RNAcentral
CUGGGUCAACAUGCCAUACAUGUUCCUUCCCACCCCUAUAGCAGAUAACUGCUAAUCAAUCACAACCCUCUUCCUACUGUGAGUCUUCCUGGGUAAGAGCUCAGGCUUCUCAGUGCAGAGCUUCAGGCAGCUAUUCCAAUGGUUUGUACCUGACAUGCAAGAUAACUAUUUGUUCUUUUAAACCUAAGUACUAAGCCAGGCAUGGUGGGACUCACCUGUAAUCCCAUAGACUUGAGAGACUGAGGCAGGAGGAUCAUGAGUUUGAUUCCAGUCUUGGCAAUCUAGAGCAACUCUGUUUUAAAAUAAAAAGGAAUGGGGAUUUAUGUCAGUAGUAGAGUGUCCCUGGGUUCAAUCCCCAGUACAAAAAAAAAAAAAACUUAUCUCCCAGUACAUUGUGCUGGUAUAGAAUAUCAGCAAUCAAAUUAGAAACAACUAUAAAUCUCUUGAAAAAUCAGCCAAUGUAGACAAAGGAGACUUGCUUAAAUAGUAACCUGUUCUUAAUCAGAACUAUCCCAUUGACUUAUAAAGAAUCUGCAUAAUUCUAUUUAACCCUGUUCUAGAGUUUAUAUUUAAGUAAGCUUGUUAAUCUGC